GGGGGAUCUUUCGGGACCUCGCGCUCAAGGGGCGGCCGAUGGCAGAUUAGCUAGUUGGUGGGGUAAAGGCCUACCAAGGCGACGAUCUGUAGCUGGUCUGAGAGGACGACCAGCCACACUGGGACUGAGACACGGCCCAGACUCCUACGGGAGGCAGCAGUGGGGAAUUUUGGACAAUGGGCGCAAGCCUGAUCCAGCAAUGCCGCGUGUGUGAAGAAGGCCUUCGGGUUGUAAAGCACUUUUGUCCGGAAAGAAAUCCUCUGGGUUAAUACCCUGGGGGGAUGACGGUACCGGAAGAAUAAGCACCGGCUAACUACGUGCCAGCAGCCGCGGUAAUACGUAGGGUGCAAGCGUUAAUCGGAAUUACUGGGCGUAAAGCGUGCGCAGGCGGUUCGCUAAGACAGAUGUGAAAUCCCCGGGCUUAACCUGGGAACUGCAUUUGUGACUGGC
This 450-nucleotide ribosomal RNA is filed under the name uncultured Burkholderia sp. RNAcentral's name for it is "bacterial SSU rRNA". It matches the Rfam family "Bacterial small subunit ribosomal RNA", at positions 194 to 637 of the family's 1533-position model. The record is from RNAcentral. Lineage: Bacteria; Pseudomonadati; Pseudomonadota; Betaproteobacteria; Burkholderiales; Burkholderiaceae.